Molecule: long non-coding RNA, 1178 nt
Organism: Spodoptera litura
Lineage: Eukaryota; Metazoa; Arthropoda; Insecta; Lepidoptera; Noctuidae
Source: RefSeq, a predicted model, not a curated record
UAAAAUCAAAACAUUUUAUUGGAAAGUUUGGAUUUGGAUUCAUGGAUACAUAAGAAACAAAUUAUUGUAUGGCCACAGGCCACUACUUUGAAUUAUGAAAAUGGAAGUGAAAGAGAGGCCUGCUGAUAUUAUCAUCCUCCCGCCAUCAAUUGUUACGGUUCAAGUUAUAAGAGUUAUAAGGAAUUUAAUUUAGUGCUCAACGUUAUUCUAAUCCUGUGUCAGUGUAGUACCUAGCAGAAGAAAUUAACUCAAAAUGGCGAAGUGCAAAGGAUUCCCACCAAAAACUGGAAUAUGUAAUAACUUUGAUCUAAUAGAGAUCGUUUUUAUUUGUGUGGCAUUCACGUUUCUGCUGAUAAUAGUCACCCAAGCUUGCCGCCUUCUCUCCUCAGGAUUCAUACAUUUUUAAACAUGUACUUAACAAUGGCGAUAAACUGUUCACCUGAAAACAAUAAAUAAAUACAUUUCCGCAUGGCUGGACCAGGAUUGAAAAAUCAGAAAACUACACUUGAACCAGAAGAAGUAGACUGUCCAUAUAAAUCAAUUACCGACAAAUUACCCAACCUUCGCUUGGAGUCGAUCGACUUAGUAGAUGCAAUAUGUAUCGCCAUUGCUGUAGUCUUGCUUGCGAUUAUGAUCAAGCAAAUUUGUUCCUUACUGCCAAAUCGACGACCGAGAACCAGAAGGGCCAGGCCGUGCUACUGCUGACCCUUGUUGCAUAUAGACGGGUGCUACAUGAAUUAAAAAGCUAGUCCUGGUGGAAUCCUCCCUAAGACGCCAUUUAUUCUGACAUCACUAAAGAAAUAUUAAAAAAAUGGCAAACUUAACUAACAGAUUCAAGAACGUGUAACAGUCGUAGAAGUAUGUAAGGAUCACGGGUGGAAUUUAGAGAUUUCUGACCAUACUCACAAAAAUAAAAACCACAAGACCUGUGUUAAUGUAAACUGAAAGAAAAAUACUACAACAUGGACGACGUGGUGUGAAAUAAAUAAAAUGAAAAGAAUUUUCUUCUCAUUUAUGAAGCCAUUUACUAAACGCCCGUCCAGUUGCAAAGUAAAUGGCAGAACUUCUGUUUAUCAAACAAAUCCACCUGAAGUGCUAAUGACAACACAAGAGCAUUACUUAAUCGUUUUGGUGGGAGUGGCCGUAGUAUAUCUGUUACGUGGACAAAAUAGCCCUUA